UUUCAUACAUGUUAGUCCCACUGUACAUGUACUAGGUACUGUGAAAUAUCAAUGUGCAGCACUGCACUGAUACAUGGACAGCCCACACUGCUCCAGAUAGCAGGUGGAGAAGUCUGGCACCUGGCUUUUCCUUCUGUUGCCCUUGGAGACGGAUGAAAAACUAGCCAUGAAGGACAGUCUGUUGCCUAGCCCUUCAGUUUAACCCCAGAGGGCCCUUGUUCAAGAUACAUGGGCAAGUGGCAGUGAUGAUGCAGUGUCUACAGCUGUCACAAUCAUCUUUCAGUUGCUGCAAGGCAGGACAUCACAAUAAAUUAGAUCUGACCCAGACUAGCUGCAAGGAGAGACUUGAAGUGGGUUGCAUAGGCAGGGUCCCUGGGCAAAGAGUGAGGAGGAAAGGAGGGCCCUCUUGGAUGUGUGUGUGAAUGAGACCCAGGAUGAGAGCAAAGAGGCUCUCGCCAGAGUGCCAUCUGUUCCAGAUGUGGAGAGGGAGGUACAGACCACACUGACGUACCCCUAUCUGACCCAUUGGCAAUGGGAGAGAAAUUAUGGAAAAACGUACUUGAUAAUGACUUUUUGUUAAAUACCCCAAUAAACCUA
Pogona vitticeps (central bearded dragon) is the source of this 597-nucleotide non-coding RNA. NCBI's taxonomy places the organism in Eukaryota, Metazoa, Chordata, Lepidosauria, Squamata, Agamidae. The record is from RefSeq and is a predicted model, not a curated record.